Cyprinus carpio (common carp) is the source of this 641-nucleotide long non-coding RNA. RefSeq lists it as uncharacterized. The transcript is spliced from 3 exons. NCBI's taxonomy places the organism in Eukaryota, Metazoa, Chordata, Actinopteri, Cypriniformes, Cyprinidae. The record is from RefSeq and is a predicted model, not a curated record.
UCUCUACUCUGAACAGCGGGUCUUGUGAACAUGGGCCUCAGUACAAUAAAGGUAAGGUAUUUCAGGUUUUUGACUCAAUCAUGUGCUACGCUUUAUUUGCAAUUUCAAAUAAUUUCUUGCAGUUCCAGAAUACCUGUAACCGUAUUUCUGUAUUUGUAACUGUAUUUCUUUUCACAAAUCUAAGAGGACACUUCACACCCUACAACCCGUAAAAAUAACCCAGAUUCGUCAGAACUGCACACCCAUCUUAGGCCUACUGUACCUGUUUUACUUCAUGAUCACUGCAGAUACUUCUACAAUUGACCCGCUUUGUGUCUGAUAUUGAUGCAGUCUGGGCACUAGUAUCUGUUGGCUUGCUGACUAUCACUGAAGAUGAAGUACUUCUCCAAAUCUUCUCUGCCUUGACCCUGUGUCUUCUGCCAUCAUUGUUCAGGGUAGUACUGCAAAGAACCGUCUCCAGGGUCUACCUCCAACAUUUGCUUCCGGACCGCCAUGUGCUACGUUUGGAUUACUGGUACAUGAAGAUUACCCUGAUACUGUGAAGAACACUUACAAUAUGAUGCUUGACUUGGGACAGAAAAAAAAAAACACUGGCAACUUGUGUGGCCAACUCAUUGCCAUACUUAAUCUCAUCUUACUGC